This 828-nucleotide ribosomal RNA is filed under the name uncultured bacterium. RNAcentral's name for it is "partial 16S ribosomal RNA". It matches the Rfam family "Bacterial small subunit ribosomal RNA", at positions 8 to 824 of the family's 1533-position model. The record is from RNAcentral.
AGAGUUUGAUCCUGGCUCANGACNAACGCUGGCGGCGUGCUUAACACNUGCAAGUCGAGCGAGAAAGUUACCUUCGGGUAACGAGUAAAGCGGCGAACGGGUGAGUAACGCGUGAGUAUCUACCUUUAAGUCAGGAAUAACUUCCCGAAAGAGAAGCUAAUGCCUGAUAAUCUCCUUUGGAGCAAAGACGGCUUCGGCCGUUACUUAAAGAUGAGCUCGCGUCCCAUUAGCUAGUUGGUGAGAUAACAGCUCACCAAGGCAACGAUGGGUAGCCGGCCUGAGAGGGCGAUCGGCCACACUGGGACUGAGACACGGCCCAGACUCCUACGGGAGGCUGCAGUGGGGAAUCUUCCGCAAUGAGCGAGAGCUUGACGGAGCAACGCCGCGUGAGUGACGAAGGCCUUCGGGUCGUAAAGCUCUGUCUUUAGGGACGAACAACCAGACUGUGAUAAGCAGUCCGGUAUGACGGUACCUGAUGANGAAGCCCCGGCUAAUUACGUGCCAGCAGCCGCGGUAACACGUAAGGGGCUAGCGUUGUCCGGAAUCACUGGGCGUAAAGGGUACGCAGGCGGUCUAGCAAGUCAGAGGUGAAAGCCAUCGGCUUUAACCGAUGAAGCGCCUUUGAAACUGUUAGACUUGAGGUUAGGAGAGGAAAGCGGAAUUCCCGGUGUAGUGGUGAAAUACGUANAGAUCGGGGAAAAAUACCAAUGGUGAAAACAGCUUUUNUGGCCUANACCUNGANGCUGAGGUACAAAAGCCNAGGNUAUCAAACGGGNANUUANAUACCCCCGGUAGUCCUGGCNUGUAAACNAAUGGGNCCCUGANGUG